This 334-nucleotide ribosomal RNA is filed under the name Lactobacillus delbrueckii subsp. bulgaricus. RNAcentral describes it as "bacterial SSU rRNA". It matches the Rfam family "Bacterial small subunit ribosomal RNA", at positions 143 to 470 of the family's 1533-position model. Lineage: Bacteria; Bacillati; Bacillota; Bacilli; Lactobacillales; Lactobacillaceae. The record is from RNAcentral.
AUACCACUUGGAAACAGGUGCUAAUACCGGAUAACAGCAUGAAUCGCAUGAUUCAAGUUUGAAAGGCGGCGCAAGCUGUCACUUUAGGAUGAGCCCGCGGCGCAUUAGCUAGUUGGUGGGGUAAAGGCCUACCAAGGCAAUGAUGCGUAGCCGAGUUGAGAGACUGAUCGGCCACAUUGGGACUGAGACACGGCCCAAACUCCUACGGGAGGCAGCAGUAGGGAAUCUUCCACAAUGGACGCAAGUCUGAUGGAGCAACGCCGCGUGAGUGAAGAAGGUCUUCGGAUCGUAAAGCUCUGUUGUUGGUGAAGAAGGAUAGAGGCAGUAACUGGUC